This 2672-nucleotide ribosomal RNA is filed under the name Klebsiella pneumoniae. Its description in RNAcentral is "bacterial LSU rRNA". It matches the Rfam family "Bacterial large subunit ribosomal RNA". The record is from RNAcentral. Lineage: Bacteria; Pseudomonadati; Pseudomonadota; Gammaproteobacteria; Enterobacterales; Enterobacteriaceae.
CACUAUCGUUAACUGAAUACAUAGGUUAACGAGGCGAACCGGGGGAACUGAAACAUCUAAGUACCCCGAGGAAAAGAAAUCAACCGAGAUUCCCCCAGUAGCGGCGAGCGAACGGGGAGCAGCCCAGAGUCUGAAUCAGCUUGUGUGUUAGUGGAACGGUCUGGAAAGUCCGACGGUACAGGGUGAUAGUCCCGUACACCAAAAUGCACAGGCUGUGAACUCGAAGAGUAGGGCGGGACACGUGGUAUCCUGUCUGAAUAUGGGGGGACCAUCCUCCAAGGCUAAAUACUCCUGACUGACCGAUAGUGAACCAGUACCGUGAGGGAAAGGCGAAAAGAACCCCGGCGAGGGGAGUGAAAAAGAACCUGAAACCGUGUACGUACAAGCAGUGGGAGCACCUUCGGGUGUGACUGCGUACCUUUUGUAUAAUGGGUCAGCGACUUAUAUUCUGUAGCAAGGUUAACCGUAUAGGGGAGCCGCAGGGAAACCGAGUCUUAACUGGGCGUUAAGUUGCAGGGUAUAGACCCGAAACCCGGUGAUCUAGCCAUGGGCAGGUUGAAGGUUGGGUAACACUAACUGGAGGACCGAACCGACUAAUGUUGAAAAAUUAGCGGAUGACUUGUGGCUGGGGGUGAAAGGCCAAUCAAACCGGGAGAUAGCUGGUUCUCCCCGAAAGCUAUUUAGGUAGCGCCUCGUGAAUUCAUCUUCGGGGGUAGAGCACUGUUUCGGCUAGGGGGUCAUCCCGACUUACCAACCCGAUGCAAACUACGAAUACCGAAGAAUGUUAUCACGGGAGACACACGGCGGGUGCUAACGUCCGUCGUGAAGAGGGAAACAACCCAGACCGCCAGCUAAGGUCCCAAAGUCAUGGUUAAGUGGGAAACGAUGUGGGAAGGCACAGACAGCCAGGAUGUUGGCUUAGAAGCAGCCAUCAUUUAAAGAAAGCGUAAUAGCUCACUGGUCGAGUCGGCCUGCGCGGAAGAUGUAACGGGGCUAAACCAUGCACCGAAGCUGCGGCAGCGACACUAUGUGUUGUUGGGUAGGGGAGCGUUCUGUAAGCCUGCGAAGGUGUGCUGUGAGGCAUGCUGGAGGUAUCAGAAGUGCGAAUGCUGACAUAAGUAACGAUAAAGCGGGUGAAAAGCCCGCUCGCCGGAAGACCAAGGGUUCCUGUCCAACGUUAAUCGGGGCAGGGUGAGUCGACCCCUAAGGCGAGGCCGAAAGGCGUAGUCGAUGGGAAACAGGUUAAUAUUCCUGUACUUGGUGUUACUGCGAAGGGGGGACGGAGAAGGCUAUGUUAGCCGGGCGACGGUUGUCCCGGUUUAAGCAUGUAGGCUGGUUGUCCAGGCAAAUCCGGAUAAUCAAGGCUGAGGUGUGAUGACGAGGCACUACGGUGCUGAAGUAACAAAUGCCCUGCUUCCAGGAAAAGCCUCUAAGCAUCAGGUAACAUUAAAUCGUACCCCAAACCGACACAGGUGGUCAGGUAGAGAAUACCAAGGCGCUUGAGAGAACUCGGGUGAAGGAACUAGGCAAAAUGGUGCCGUAACUUCGGGAGAAGGCACGCUGGUGUGUAGGUGAAGUCCCUGCGGAUGGAGCUGAGACCAGUCGAAGAUACCAGCUGGCUGCAACUGUUUAUUAAAAACACAGCACUGUGCAAACACGAAAGUGGACGUAUACGGUGUGACGCCUGCCCGGUGCCGGAAGGUUAAUUGAUGGGGUUAUCCGUAAGGAGAAGCUCUUGAUCGAAGCCCCGGUAAACGGCGGCCGUAACUAUAACGGUCCUAAGGUAGCGAAAUUCCUUGUCGGGUAAGUUCCGACCUGCACGAAUGGCGUAAUGAUGGCCAGGCUGUCUCCACCCGAGACUCAGUGAAAUUGAACUCGCUGUGAAGAUGCAGUGUACCCGCGGCAAGACGGAAAGACCCCGUGAACCUUUACUAUAGCUUGACACUGAACAUUGAGCCUUGAUGUGUAGGAUAGGUGGGAGGCUUUGAAGCGUGGACGCCAGUCUGCGUGGAGCCAACCUUGAAAUACCACCCUUUAAUGUUUGAUGUUCUAACGUUGGCCCCUUACCGGGGUUGCGGACAGUGUCUGGUGGGUAGUUUGACUGGGGCGGUCUCCUCCCAAAGCGUAACGGAGGAGCACGAAGGUUAGCUAAUCCUGGUCGGACAUCAGGAGGUUAGUGCAAUGGCAUAAGCUAGCUUGACUGCGAGCGUGACGGCGCGAGCAGGUGCGAAAGCAGGUCAUAGUGAUCCGGUGGUUCUGAAUGGAAGGGCCAUCGCUCAACGGAUAAAAGGUACUCCGGGGAUAACAGGCUGAUACCGCCCAAGAGUUCAUAUCGACGGCGGUGUUUGGCACCUCGAUGUCGGCUCAUCACAUCCUGGGGCUGAAGUAGGUCCCAAGGGUAUGGCUGUUCGCCAUUUAAAGUGGUACGCGAGCUGGGUUUAGAACGUCGUGAGACAGUUCGGUCCCUAUCUGCCGUGGGCGCUGGAGAAUUGAGGGGGGCUGCUCCUAGUACGAGAGGACCGGAGUGGACGCAUCACUGGUGUUCGGGUUGUCAUGCCAAUGGCACUGCCCGGUAGCUAAAUGCGGAAGAGAUAAGUGCUGAAAGCAUCUAAGCACGAAACUUGCCCCGAGAUGAGUUCUCCCUGAGACUUUAAGUCUCCUGAAGGAACGUU